AUACUACAUGAAGCGGUCAAUGC
This 23-nucleotide non-coding RNA is filed under the name Arabidopsis thaliana (thale cress). Lineage: Eukaryota; Viridiplantae; Streptophyta; Magnoliopsida; Brassicales; Brassicaceae. The record is from RNAcentral.